CCUACGGGUGGCAGCAGUGAGGAAUAUUGGUCAAUGGACGAGAGGCUGAACCAGCCAAGUAGCGUGAAGGAUGAAGGCCCUAUGGGUUGUAAACUUCUUUUAUAAAGGAAUAAAACGAGGCACGUGUGCCUUUUUGCAUGUACUCUAUGAAUAAGGAUCGGCUAACUCCGUGCCAGCAGCCGCGGUAAUACGGAGGAUCCGAGCGUUAUCCGGAUUUAUUGGGUUUAAAGGGAGCGUAGAUGGGUUGUUAAGUCAGUUGUGAAAGUUUGCGGCUCAACCGUAAAAUUGCAAUUGAUACUGGCAGUCUGGAGUGCGGUUGAGGUAAGCGGAAUGCGUGGUGUAGCGGUGAAAUGCAUAGAUAUCACGAAGAACCCCGAUUGCGAAGGCAGCUUACUAAGCCGUGACUGACAUUGAUGCUCGAAAGUGUGGGUAUCAAACAGGAUUAGAUACCCCAGUAGUC
RNAcentral lists this ribosomal RNA (460 nucleotides) under uncultured bacterium. RNAcentral's name for it is "partial 16S ribosomal RNA". It matches the Rfam family "Bacterial small subunit ribosomal RNA", at positions 338 to 795 of the family's 1533-position model. The record is from RNAcentral.